Molecule: ribosomal RNA, 417 nt
Filed under: bacterium enrichment culture clone ALO1_GLFRUDD03F5DII
Lineage: Bacteria
Also listed under: 10 other names
Description: bacterial SSU rRNA
Rfam family: Bacterial small subunit ribosomal RNA
Source: RNAcentral
GAGUUUGAUCGUGGCUCAGAUUGAACGCUGGCGGCAUGCCUUACACAUGCAAGUCGAACGGCAGCACGGGAGCUUGCUCCUGGUGGCGAGUGGCGAACGGGUGAGUAAUGCAUCGGAACGUAUCCUGGAGUGGGGGAUAACGUAGCGAAAGUUACGCUAAUACCGCAUAUUCUGUGAGCAGGAAAGCGGGGGACCUUCGGGCCUCGCGCUCUUGGAGCGGCCGAUGUCGGAUUAGCUAGUUGGUGAGGUAAAGGCUCACCAAGGCGACGAUCCGUAGCAGGUCUGAGAGGAUGAUCUGCCACACUGGAACUGAGACACGGUCCAGACUCCUACGGGAGGCAGCAGUGGGAAUUUUGGACAAUGGGGGCAACCCUGAUCCAGCCAUGCCGCGUGAGUGAAGAAGGCCUCGGUUGUAAG